Drosophila yakuba is the source of this 3460-nucleotide long non-coding RNA. RefSeq lists it as uncharacterized. The transcript is spliced from 2 exons. The record is from RefSeq and is a predicted model, not a curated record. Lineage: Eukaryota; Metazoa; Arthropoda; Insecta; Diptera; Drosophilidae.
AACACGCAACCUACAGUGAGUCACGUCACACUUUGGCCAGCCCACAGCCACACACUUUAUAGCCUAUAAAACCAGAACUGAACUAAUCAGUCCUAAUAAAGCGCUCUCCUUUUUGUUCUGUGGAGUUUGCGAAAAUUACAUGAAAAAUUUUCGACCUAUGUGGUUCUGCUUAUUACUUUGAAUAAAAAUAUUUCUUUACCAUUUUGGAAGUGAAAAGUUUCCAUCAUGAAUUAAGUAAGGCAAGUACUACAUUAUUAUAUUAAAUAGUCUUGGCACACAAUAAAUAGUAAUAACUGUGACACCACAUAAGUUUGUAAAUCUCUUUAGUCAAGUUUUUACAAACUAGACAGUGCAGGUCGAUAUAUUAUGAUUGCCACUGUUGGUACAUUAUGUUAGCAACGCUGUUAAUCGUGUUUAACAGUCUAGUGUUGAGAAACUUUGUUUCUGCAACAUGUUGCUAGGAUUAUUCCAACUAGAAGUUGCGUAUGCGUAAUAUUUACUUUUGUGCUUUAUUUUUCUUCGAGGUUUUAUGUAUUGCCCACUACGUCUGCAUCUGCGGUUUAAACAAGCUCGGAUGAAGAGAAACUGGAUGAGUUUUAUUUAAAAACAAGAGAGAACACUAUAGUCGAAUAGAAGAAUAUAUAAACUUUAUAUGGUCGGAAACGCUUCCAUCUGCCUGUUACAUACUUCUCAACGAAUCUAGUAUACCCUAUUUGCUCUACGAGUAACGAGUAUAAGAAUACAGAUGAACUUAAUAAAUAUCAAAUAUGUUGCUACAAACUUUUUAUACAAUGCGCAUUUUGAAGUUAUUGGUUUUAUUUUCGGAAGUUUGACUGUAGUAAACGCUUUGUACAAGUCGGAGGAAGAAGAGGACAAGGGGCCAUACUUAAACGGAUUAGUGGGCGUGUUAAACGCGGCGACAACGGCAGCAGGCGAACAAAAUACCAAGACGAAAACAGCAUGAGUUAAACUACUCCCCAUGUAGUUCGUAUUCUAAUUAGUUACGCAGCAAACCGGCUAAAGUAUGUUUUUCAAAUCGCGUAAGCAAGCCCCUCAAAUCGUUGGUGUAGAGGGUACAUAAAAAAUACUGAAACCGGAAUCGCUUUUCCCAACGUUGCUCUACUCUGGAAUGUAUGUGAUAUUUUAAAGAGACCAAUCAACUGUGAACCGGUUAAAAACAGAUAACUUUUUAAAUUGCUCUUGCUUCAGAGUCCACAGAUGCUUUUGAUCACAUGAUCGUACCAAAGAUUAAGUUUGCAUCACCCACAGCUGUUUGAAAUAUGGCUUAUAAUUCCGAUCCUGGGUCAGCCUACUUGCAAUUGGUCCUCUCCGGUUAAUAUUUGCGUCUGGUUAAAAACACCGCAGAUAACAGCAAUCGGUAGGUAAUUCAAAUCUUAGAUUCCCUUAAAUUUCUUGAUUGGCUUAACCUUUAUCCAAUUAAUUUUAAUAAACAAAUUUUUGAGAUGUCCAUUUGUGUCCAACCAAAACAUAGUUACCAAGUUGUCUAACGCCUUUUCUGCUCCUCAAUUUGUAUACUACAACAAAAUUACUACACGCAAUUACUUUUUGGCGACCUAAAUGAUGAAACAAUCACGUGUCUGCGAGUAUCUUUAUAUCGCAGCCGUCGAUGUGUGCGAUUUGAUUUGUUUGUUAAAGUGGGCUCGAUGUGUGGCCACUUGUCGCAUGUUUGUUGUUACGGGAGUACGUAAAACGCCCUCUCGACAAUGGCCUGGUAGUCGGUAUUGUGUUACCAAAACAACCAUGCUCAUAAUGAGGCAAUAGUUGUAGCUAGAUGCUCGUAAUCCAAUAUCCCGAAUAGGGGGACAGAAAUAGGAACUUAAAAGUCUGUGAAAGCAUUCACUCAGCGCUGAAGUUCCACUACAUAAUAUGUAUAAUAUAUGGUUAUUAACAAAGAAGUAUUACGAUUUGGGAAAAGUAAAGUUACUAACUAAACUUAUCAUUUUGAUCUCUCGUAAUCCAUUACAGAGCAUCUCCUGUUUUUGAUUCGUUUCUUAGCUGCUAGUUAGCCAGAUCUCAACUAAAUUAAAUACAAAACAGACUGUAUAGUUCCAGUCAACCAUUUGAAACCCAAGUGGGAAAGCAAAGUCUACAUGGUUAUAUAUAUGGCUCUUCACAACUGGCUGAUUUCUUUCCCCCAAACAGAGCCCGUUGUCGCAUUGAAUUUCGAUUCGAGCAAACACAAAAAGUGUUUAUAUACUUAGUACAUUUUUUUUUUUCAAUGAAAAGACCUAUUAAAAAGUGGGGCCGACCUGGGCAAUGCAUUUUGAAUUAAACCUAACUACAGACAAAGGUGGGUAAUUAAAGAAAGGUGACCCCGACCCCUAAAACAAUGCCGAAAGGUGAAAGUAAUGUCAAAUGUGCCGCGAUAUUGUGGCCGAAAUAAAAUCUAGCUUGUAAUGCAAAUUAAAAUGAAACCGAAAAUAUUUCGGUGUUUUUUAGACCGAAAGAAAAUUAGGAAUUCCUAGACAAUCGUAAAAUGUCAUGAAAUAGGUGCUUAGCAGCUGAGAAAAGGGGUAGCCCAGGCUAACAAUAGUUCCACUUGGUUGUCGUUUUUUCCCAUCAUCAUUUAAAUUUCUUCGAAAUAUAAAAUUCAUUUAAACGGUUCCGCGCACAAUCAAAACCCUCGGAUCAAUCGAGGGUGGGAGAUAAGAGUUACAAGUGCGUCUGAUAACCGUGUUGUAUGUGUCGAAGAAGUCGAGGAACUCCAUAUGUUUCUUAAGGCUCCUUCGGCAAGAAAACCGUAUUCUGAGCUUGGAUGGUUCAGACUUUGCAAUCACUGAAUUCCGAGUGGAAAAGUUUUUCGCUUAACUGAGCUCAGAUUCGAAUCACUGUCUUUUACAGAAAUCCUCGUACAGAAUGAGUUUAUAUGAACAACUGCUUGGCGGACAUCAAUUUGCCGGGCAAUUUGACCAAUUUUACUAACAAUUCACAUUUAUUUCUCAGAUAAUUUACGAGCACACACAAGGAUUGCCCAGAUCAUCUGGUAUGCAAUAUAGUGGCUACUGUGGCAUCGAUUCACAUUCCACCUUCGUGGCAGCGGCAUUUACAUGAUCAUUAUUGUCGGGGCUGGAUUUUUUCGGUAGAAUCGGACCCUUUGGGCGGCAAUUGGGAACUUUUUCGAUCGAUAUGGCCAUCGUUUAUGGCCGUGGCAUUGAAUACGUUUGGUUUUUGGUUUUGGACGCGCGCGGAUUACAAAUCUAACUGCACUUUGGUUUUUUAUGCGAUUUCGCUUUCGGUUUCACAUUUUUUCUGUCUUCUGCAAACACUUUCACCCCGGGCAGAAGUGUCUUACGUCCCGCAGAAGACUAAUAUUUUGCUGGCCUUUGUUGAUUCAUUAAUAUUUACCCUUUUCUUGAUGUAUUUUGCUAUUUUUGAGAUUUUUAUUGUUUUGGCGCUCAUUUUGGCAACGUUUUCAGAUUGCGGCCGCAGAAGAAUCGCA